CAUUCCUCAGCUUUCUCUUUCCAGAACAGGAUUAUGAACAGACGCCAUACAGAGGUAUUUGUAAGAAAGAAGGUGGAUGCCAGAAUCCUUUCUUCAAACAGAAGCUUACCAGUAAGUGCAGACUAAUACAACAGGUAGGUCAAGGCUAAUCCAGUUGGAGGGGGUGCUGCUAUAGGACUGGGUGCAGGGGAAAUAUGAGGAAUCAGAUCAGGACACUCCCUUUAAGGAAUCCCUCUCUACCAGAGGGAUAGGUGUGUGCAAAGCUCUCUUUGUUGCAGAGAGAUUGGAACUACAGCAGAGGUGUGAACAGGUGUCAGGCGGACACAGAAGAAAGAGCAGGUACUCUUCUGGAAGGUUGGAGAAGACUUUGUGAAUGUGGGGAUGUUUGAUUUGAACCUUGAAGAACAAGUAGAGACCCAAGAGGUACAGAAGAGGGGAGGUGGAAAUAGCAUUAACGAGGUGGGGCAUACAAAUUCACUUUUAAUUGAUACAACCUUUCACCUCAGAGCUGCUUCUUGUAACACAGAAGUUUUCAGAUUCUAUGAAAAGGUAUUGAGUGAAUUGAAGGCUCUGUUAAGGGGGCAACUAUCUCCCCUCCCCAUUCUCCUAUCAGCCCAUAAAACAAGAACUGACAACCUCUUGGAAGAAUUGGGAAGAAACUUUUCGAUUUUCUCUGUACAAUCUUCACUGGUUCCUCUCUGAGAGGAGGAGGGACCUCUUAGGUUGGUGUCGUUGGGAAAAGGAUAUCAAGUGUGCAUGGCUCAGCCUGUUCCUGGCUCAGCCUGUUCCUGGCUCUCUCUCUGGGACUGACCUGACUGCAAGCAGCAUGUUCUCUCUCUGCUCCUGCCUCCUCCAGGCAAUGAGCACCAGGGCGGGUCCAGCCCUUGCUUGGGAGGACUUCAAUAGUCCAGCUGCUCUGCCACGAGUGGGUGAGUGAGUUCAAGUCAGAGGAGAAGACACAGAAAGCUCAUUUGGGCCUUGGGUCUUAGCCACAUCCUCCAGUCCAUCUGGACUAGCAAUAAAGCUGACAUUUUAAUCCCUA
This 1042-nucleotide long non-coding RNA is filed under the name Pongo abelii (Sumatran orangutan). Its description in RNAcentral is "lincRNA". The record is from RNAcentral. Lineage: Eukaryota; Metazoa; Chordata; Mammalia; Primates; Hominidae.